Acanthochromis polyacanthus (spiny chromis) is the source of this 1436-nucleotide long non-coding RNA. RefSeq lists it as uncharacterized. NCBI's taxonomy places the organism in Eukaryota, Metazoa, Chordata, Actinopteri, Pomacentridae. The transcript is spliced from 2 exons. The record is from RefSeq and is a predicted model, not a curated record.
ACAGAGGGGUAACUCUAGCCUGUUUCACAAAGAGGGGUAACUUCAACUCUCGGUCAGUUACCGCAGUAACAGACUCUAUGACUCUAACCUGGUCACCAGCAGGUUUAUCUGAGAAAACCUCCAGUUUCUCUCCGUCUCCGCCCUCUUUCAGCCACACGCUGUUUCAUUUCCUCAUUCAUUCAGUCAGUAAGCGAGCGAGUUUUGGCGUAGAACAGCUUUUAUUAACGAUCCAGUGGAUAAAGGAGCAGCAUUACUGCACAGAUAAUUAAAUAUUCGUCGGUAGAUUGUUAUCAGACCGAGCAUAAAUGUUCUCGCAUUUCCGGACAAUUAUCGGUUUGAGCGGUACCGUUUCAUAAUCGUUUCAAGUCCAUAAUCUACAUAAACAACCUAAUCCGUCCUUACAUUUACAUUACCAACCAGUCAUGCUCUCACAUCCAGCAGAUAUUGUGUGUUGCGCUGCGGUUCUUUGCAAAUGAAAGUUUUUAUAUGAUGUCAGAGAUGCAGAGUAAGACAACUGUAUGGAGGACAGUCAGAAAAGUUUUCCUGGCUCUGAAACGACUUUUACCAUCAUUGUGGACACAAACCUGUCAGAACAUCAAGGAGGAUCCACAGGAUUACAGGUGAAUGAUGUAGAGAUCUGUUAAAUUCAUUUUAAAUCUUAUUCUGUUAAUGACAUUGUGCUGCAGCCUCAGACUGGGAUCAGUCAUUUUAAUUUCUUUUAGGAUUUCCCAGUGUGAUUGGCUGCAUAGAUGCACACACAUCCCCAUCACAGCUCCCUCACAUCAUGAACAGGAAGUCCAUUCACAGCAUAAAUGUGCAGAUCAUAUGUGAUGCUGCAUACAUCAUUUCUAAUGUGGAGGCCACGUGGUCUGGGUCUGUUCAUGACUCCAGGAUUUAUGGAGAGUCUAACCUGAGCAACAGACUGCAGCGUGGUCAGCAGCAUAAAGAUUUUCACAAUAGAAUUCUCUUGUCUCCCUCCUUUAAUAUGCUCUGAUGUAUCCACUAUACAUUACAGGAGAGUUUGAUGGCCUUCUGCUGGGUGACAGGGGUUACCAUGACAACCCAGGCUGAUGACCUCAUACCCUGACCCUGAACCAGGCCCCCAACAGAACUUCAACCGGACUCACUGCAGGACCAGAGCCCGGGUGGAGAUGACCAUAGGCCUGCUGAAAGCCCGUUUCCAGAGCCUACGUCUCCUCAGGGUGACCCCUGAGAGGGCCUGUGAUAUUACUGUGGCAUGUGUUGUUCUUCAUAAUAUUACCACUAUUAGAGGAGAGCAACACCCUGCCCUACAAACUGAAGACCCAGAUGAUGAGCCCAUCCACCUGCAGCUAUCCAGGACAGCAGAGCAGUCAGAGACACCGUAUGCAAUAAUCACUUUAGAGUUUAAGUCUCCAUCAUCACCACCACAGCAAAUAAAGACAUGAUACACAUUU